Molecule: ribosomal RNA, 253 nt
Filed under: uncultured bacterium
Lineage: Bacteria
Description: partial 16S ribosomal RNA
Rfam family: Bacterial small subunit ribosomal RNA
Source: RNAcentral
UACGUAGGGGGCGAGCGUUGUCCGGAAUUAUUGGGCGUAAAGAGCGUGUAGGCGGUUCGGUAAGUCUGCCGUGAAAACCUGGGGCUCAACCCCGGGCGUGCGGUGGAUACUGCCGGGCUAGAGGGUGGUAGAGGCGAGUGGAAUUCCCGGUGUAGCGGUGAAAUGCGCAGAUAUCAGGAGGAACACCGGUGGUGAAGACGGCUCUCUGGACCGCUACUGACGCUGAGACUCGAAAGCGUGGGGAGCAAACAGG